AAUGAGAGUUGUGCUAAGGUAGCAUAAUAAUUUGAUUUUUAAUUGAAAUCUGGGAUGAAAGGGGCAAUGAAAUUAUAACUUUUUUUAUAAUAAAUUAAAAUUUUAUUUACAAGUGAAAAAGCUUGUAUAAUUUUAUAAGACGAGAAGACCCCAAGAAUUGUUGUUAAUAUAAGGUUAUAAGAUCUUAAUUAGACUUAGCUGGGGCGGCUUGUAAGUAUAAUAACCUUACAAAUAAGAAACUACCAUAGGAUUAGUUUGAAGUUUACAUAAUUAUUAGAAAAUUACCUUGGGGAUAACAGCGUAAUUUAAAUUUAAAGUUCAUAUAAAAAUUAAAGUUUGCGACCUCGAUGUUGGAUUAAGAAAAUAGUAAAGCAGCAUUUACAAAAUAGGGUCUGUUCGACCUGUAUUUCUUACAUGAUCUGAGUUC
Molecule: ribosomal RNA, 427 nt
Filed under: Sacculina pugettiae
Lineage: Eukaryota; Metazoa; Arthropoda; Thecostraca; Sacculinidae
Description: partial large subunit ribosomal RNA
Rfam family: Archaeal large subunit ribosomal RNA
Source: RNAcentral